This 497-nucleotide ribosomal RNA is filed under the name uncultured bacterium. RNAcentral describes it as "partial 16S ribosomal RNA". It matches the Rfam family "Bacterial small subunit ribosomal RNA", at positions 28 to 507 of the family's 1533-position model. The record is from RNAcentral.
GAUGAACGCUGGCGGCGUGCCUAAUACAUGCAAGUCGAGCGAACAGACGAGUAGCUUUCUCCUCUGACGUUAGCGGCGGACGGGUGAGUAACAACUGGAUAACCUACCUAUAAGACUGGGAUAAUUUCGGGAAACCGGAGCUAAUACCGGAUAAUAUAUUGCACCGCAUGGUUCAAUAGUGAAAGACGGUUUUGGCCUCACUUAUAGAUGGAUCCGGGCCGCGUUAGCUAGCUGGUAAGGUAACGGCUUACCAAGGCAACGAUGCGUAGCCGACCUGGCGGGGUGAUCGGCCAGGCUGGAAUUGAGAUGAGGUCCAGACUACUACGGGAGGCGGCAGAGGGGAAUCGUCCGCAAUGCGCGAAAGCCUGGCGGAGCGACGCCGCGUGGGUGAUGAAGGUCUUCGGAUCGUAUAACUCUCUUAUUAGGGAAGAACAACUGUGUAGGUAACUAUGCACGGCUUGACGGUAGCUAAACAGAAAGCGACGGCUAACUACGUG